This 301-nucleotide ribosomal RNA is filed under the name uncultured bacterium. RNAcentral describes it as "partial 16S ribosomal RNA". It matches the Rfam family "Bacterial small subunit ribosomal RNA", at positions 509 to 809 of the family's 1533-position model. The record is from RNAcentral.
CAGUAGCCGCGGGAAUACGUAGGGUGCAAGCGUUAAUCGGAAUUACUGGGCGUAAAGCGUGCGCAGGCGGCUUCUUAAGUCGGAUGUGAAAUCCCUGAGCUUAACUUAGGAAUUGCAUUCGAUACUGGGAAGCUAGAGUAUGGGAGAGGAUGGUAGAAUUCCAGGUGUAGCGGUGAAAUGCGUAGAGAUCUGGAGGAAUACCGAUGGCGAAGGCAGCCAUCUGGCCUAAUACUGACGCUGAGGUACGAAAGCAUGGGGAGCAAACAGGAUUAGAUACCCCAGUAGUCCCUGUCUCUUAUAA